GACGCCGAAGGUGGGGCUAAUGACUGGGGUGAAGUCGUAACAAGGUAGCCGUACCGGAAGGUGCGGCUGGAUCACCUCCUAACAGGGAGACAACAAAAUGUAAAUAUUAAUUUUGUCACCUUAGGUCGAUCGGUAUCUCAGAUUCUUUUUUUUAAGAAUUUCAGUUUCUAAGUUUUUUCUAGGUCACACCCAUCACUUUUUCCUGGGCCAUUAGCUCAGGUGGUUAGAGCGCACCCCUGAUAAGGGUGAGGUCCCUGGUUCAAGUCCAGGAUGGCCCAUAUCUCUAUGUUGGGGGUAUAGCUCAGUUGGUAGAGCGCCUGCUUUGCAAGCAGGAUGUCAGCGGUUCGAGUCCGCUUACCUCCACUGAAUACCACCUCUUACAUAUAAUUAAAGUGGGAAAUUGUUUUGAGUCGUGUCCUAAUUUGCUCUGAGCGAAUCUAGCUUCCUAUUUUAUCCAAGAAAUAAGAUGCUGGACUCAUUGAAUUUUUUUUCAUUGUUUUCAGAGAACCUUGACAACUGCAUAGAUUAUUUUUGAAGACAAUAAGCAUCUUUAAUGAUGCAGAUUUAUUAUUUGUGCGAAUGCAUUAAAUAACAAUUCUAUUAAGCUGAUGCUUCAAUUUUUGAAGUUAUUGGUCAAGCUACAAAGGGCUCACGGAGGAUACC
RNAcentral lists this unclassified non-coding RNA (663 nucleotides) under uncultured Prochlorococcus sp. RNAcentral describes it as "partial may contain 16S ribosomal RNA, 16S-23S ribosomal RNA intergenic spacer, and 23S ribosomal RNA". The stretch from base 291 to 363 matches the Rfam family "tRNA". Lineage: Bacteria; Bacillati; Cyanobacteriota; Cyanophyceae; Synechococcales; Prochlorococcaceae. The record is from RNAcentral.